UUUUGGAUAACUCGUUUCUAUAAAAUCCUCUCAGGUACUCGUAGAAUGAUGGAUUCAUCAGUGACCGGAGGCAGAGUAGAAGUGGGAGGUGGCCUGGCGCCGAGAUGUUUGCGCAAGAGGCUAACAUGAAAGACAUUAUGUAUUUUUGCAUCUUCACGCAGGCGAAGACGGUAAGCUACGGAACCUACUUUCUCCACUAUUUCAAAGGGGCCAUAGAAGCAAGGUGAAAGCUUAAGAGAGUGACGAAAAGCAAUUGAAGUCUGUCUAUAAG
Molecule: long non-coding RNA, 271 nt
Filed under: Manihot esculenta (cassava)
Lineage: Eukaryota; Viridiplantae; Streptophyta; Magnoliopsida; Malpighiales; Euphorbiaceae
Description: long non-coding RNA (MESC_LNC002732)
Source: RNAcentral